AUCUGGAUAUCAAGGUCUGGCUUAAGUCAAAUUGGCAAGGUCGGAAAUAUCUUCACUAAAAAGUUUUUUUGUAAAAACGAAGGAGUCAGCAAAAAGCAAAUUUGCUUCGAAUUAAGUGCACUUACAAUUUGAUAAUCCAACAACACCGAAAAGAAACAUUUUUUCACACAGAUUUGUUAACAUGAAUAGUAGGCGAACGAAUAAUAUAAUUGCUCGCUUUAAAAUAAAUACGACCUUGGACACACUUCUUAUUUUCAAUGAAGAUUCAUCGAGGUACUCCGCAAAUAUUUGUAUGCCGACCAUCCCAACUCAAAAAUUAAGAGAAAUCGUUUCUACUAAUCAAUUUCUAAUAUUACCGCGAUUGUCAUCACAAGAUAUGCUAGAAAUGUGUUGAAGUAUCUCCUAUCACAGUGGUAAUGUUCGCAGUACUGAGAAGGGGGCCAACGAAAUACUUUGUUAUUGUUAUAUUGUUAGUGGAACAAUACACAAACACCUGUAGCGAGAGGACACUUGGUUUUUACUAUUGAUUCUUUAUUUGAUUUGAGCAGCCUUAAUGCCGCUUCCAACAUCCAGUUGUUUCUGAUUCUUACCCUUAGUUACCUCCUUAGGUUCUAAGUAAGCCUAGGUCUCGUAGCUGCGCUGCCCACAGUUGGACGGCAGAGAGACGGUUAUGUAUAUCUUAUAUGUAUUAUAUAUAUUUAAUUAUGCUCUCUUUAGCUGGAGAGCGAGGGUAUAUGGAUGUACUUAAGUUCGUUUGUGCGGCCUGCGUAUGUAACAGAAUGCUGACACUUGCACUUUCUUUGAACGCGCCGAUCGACUCAUGUUUCGGCCACUUGGGUUUUUGACCCGGCCGUUGUUUAUGUAAACACUGCAACAAAGUGUUACAGUGUGUUUGUUUUAAGUACUCUUGAUACAGUAGUUAUUUAAUAUAUGAGUAAGUAAAAUCUCCCUCCUUUUAAAAA
Drosophila eugracilis is the source of this 962-nucleotide long non-coding RNA. RefSeq lists it as uncharacterized. The record is from RefSeq and is a predicted model, not a curated record. Lineage: Eukaryota; Metazoa; Arthropoda; Insecta; Diptera; Drosophilidae. The transcript has 3 exons.